AGAGCGAACGCUGGCGGCAGGCUUAACACAUGCAAGUCGAGCGGGCGUAGCAAUACGUCAGCGGCAGACGGGUGAGUAACGCGUGGGAACGUACCUUUUGGCUCGGAACAACACAGGGAAACUUGUGCUAAUACCGGAUAAGCCCUUACGGGGAAAGAUUUAUCGCCAAAAGAUCGGCCCGCGUCUGAUUAGCUAGUUGGUGAGGUAACGGCUCACCAAGGCGACGAUCAGUAGCUGGUCUGAGAGGAUGAUCAGCCACAUUGGGACUGAGACACGGCCCAAACUCCUACGGGAGGCAGCAGUGGGAAUAUUGGACAAUGGGCGCAAGCCUGAUCCAGCCAUGCCGCGUGAGUGAUGAAGGCCCUAGGGUUGUAAAGCUCUUUUGUGCGGGAAGAUAAUGACGGUACCGCGAAGAAUAAGCCCCGGCUAACUUCGUGCCAGCAGCCGC
This 448-nucleotide ribosomal RNA is filed under the name uncultured bacterium. RNAcentral's name for it is "SSU rRNA". It matches the Rfam family "Bacterial small subunit ribosomal RNA", at positions 26 to 518 of the family's 1533-position model. The record is from RNAcentral.